This 285-nucleotide ribosomal RNA is filed under the name uncultured soil bacterium. RNAcentral's name for it is "partial 16S ribosomal RNA". It matches the Rfam family "Bacterial small subunit ribosomal RNA", at positions 26 to 313 of the family's 1533-position model. The record is from RNAcentral.
AGGAUGAACGCUAGCGGCAGGCCUAAUACAUGCAAGUCGAACGGUAAGUAUGAUAGCAAUAUUAUACGAGAGUGACGUACGGGUGCGUAACACGUAUGCAACCUACCCUUUACAGGCGGAUAGCUCGGGGAAACUCGGAAAUUAACCCGUCAUAAUAUAAUUGGAUGCAUCAUUGAUUAUAAACUCGUAGUAAGAUGGGUCAUGCGUCUGAUUAGUUAGUGGGCGGGGUAACGCCCAACAAGACGUAUGAUCAGUAGGGGAACUGUAGAGGUUCGACUCCCCCCA